GGCGAGAUAGCUCAGUCGGUAGAGCAGAGGACUGAAAAUCCUUGUGUCGCCGGUUCGAUUCCGGCUCUCGCCACCA
RNAcentral lists this transfer RNA (76 nucleotides) under Pedosphaera sp. RNAcentral describes it as "tRNA-Phe". It matches the Rfam family "tRNA". Rfam says of the family: Transfer RNA (tRNA) molecules are approximately 80 nucleotides in length. Their secondary structure includes four short double-helical elements and three loops (D, anti-codon, and T loops). Further hydrogen bonds mediate the characteristic L-shaped molecular structure. tRNAs have two regions of fundamental functional importance: the anti-codon, which is responsible for specific mRNA codon recognition, and the 3' end, to which the tRNAs corresponding amino acid is attached (by aminoacyl-tRNA synthetases). tRNAs cope with the degeneracy of the genetic code in two manners: having more than one tRNA (with a specific anti-codon) for a particular amino acid; and 'wobble' base-pairing, i.e. permitting non-standard base-pairing at the 3rd anti-codon position. Lineage: Bacteria; Pseudomonadati; Verrucomicrobiota; Pedosphaerae; Pedosphaerales; Pedosphaeraceae. RNAcentral also lists the same sequence under 1 other name. The record is from RNAcentral.